CGUGUAGGCGGUUUGGUAAGUCAGAUGUGAAAGCCCUGGGCUCAACCCAGGAAGUGCAUUUGAAACUACCCAACUUGAGUACGGGAGAGGGAGGGGGAAUUCCCGGUGUAGAGGUGAAAUUCGUAGAUAUCGGGAGGAAUACCGGUGGCGAAGGCGCCCUUCUGGACUGAUACUGACGCUGAGACGCGAAAGCGUGGGGAGCAAACA
This 207-nucleotide ribosomal RNA is filed under the name uncultured bacterium. Its description in RNAcentral is "partial 16S ribosomal RNA". It matches the Rfam family "Bacterial small subunit ribosomal RNA", at positions 568 to 774 of the family's 1533-position model. The record is from RNAcentral.